AGUGAGCGCUGGCGGUAGGCCUAACACAUGCAAGUCGAACGGCAGCACAGUAAGAGCUUGCUCUUACGGGUGGCGAGUGGCGGACGGGUGAGGAAUACAUCGGAAUCUACUUUUUCGUGGGGGAUAACGUAGGGAAACUUACGCUAAUACCGCAUACGACCUACGGGUGAAAGCAGGGGAUCUUCGGACCUUGCGCGAUUGAAUGAGCCGAUGUCGGAUUAGCUAGUUGGCGGGGUAAAGGCCCACCAAGGCGACGAUCCGUAGCUGGUCUGAGAGGAUGAUCAGCCACACUGGAACUGAGACACGGUCCAGACUCCUACGGGAGGCAGCAGUGGGGAAUAUUGGACAAUGGGCGCAAGCCUGAUCCAGCCAUACCGCGUGGGUGAAGAAGGCCUUCGGGUUAUAAAGCCCUUUUGUUGGGAAAGAAAAGCAGCAGGUUAAUACCCCGCUGUUCUGACGGUACCCAAAGAAUAAGCACCGGCUAACUUCGUG
This 492-nucleotide ribosomal RNA is filed under the name uncultured bacterium. RNAcentral's name for it is "partial 16S ribosomal RNA". It matches the Rfam family "Bacterial small subunit ribosomal RNA", at positions 29 to 507 of the family's 1533-position model. The record is from RNAcentral.